RNAcentral lists this long non-coding RNA (1379 nucleotides) under Homo sapiens (human). RNAcentral's name for it is "HSALNT0005958". The record is from RNAcentral. Lineage: Eukaryota; Metazoa; Chordata; Mammalia; Primates; Hominidae.
AGGCUGGUCUUGAACUCCUGACCUCGGGGGAUCCGCCCACCUUGGCCUCCUAAAGUGCUGGGAUUACCUGCGUGAGCCACCGCGCCCAGCCAAUUUUUCCUAUUUUUAGUAGAGAUGGGGUUUCACCAUGUUGCCCAGGCUGCUCUCAAACUCCUGGGCUCAAGCAAUACCCCUGCCUUGGCCUCCCAAAGUGCUGGGAUUAUAGGCAUGAGCCACUGUGCCCAGCUAUGAUGAAUUUUAAGGCGUAGAUCAGAAUUGAUGAUGCUGAGAAAGAGAAUGUGAGAGAAUGGUGAGUGAAAUAAGAGGAAUGUUGGAAAUUACUGACUCAGAAGUUCAAAGAAGAAGGAGUGGCCAACACGAAAAGUGUUUCUGAGAGAUCAGGAAAGAUGACGUUGUGUCCACUGGAAUUGGCCACCUUGAGGUGGUGACCUUGAUGGGAGCUGGGUCAGGUGUGAGGGGAGCCAGGCUGCAAGGGGUGAAGGGCCAAGUGGGAGUACAGUGCAGAGCCCGACAGAUCAGAGUCCCCUCUGUGGCUUCAGUUUCUUCACUGGAAGAGGGAGGAGCUUUUGGGGCAUGGAAGGCUCUGGAAUAGUGGAGGGGGAUGAUGGAGAAGGAUAGAUAAGAAGACUGAUAAGCAGGAAUGAGGGCUGAGACCAGAGCCCCCAGACUUACAGAAACAGGAAUCUGCACAGAUGGGAGGUUCCCUCCAACAACCUCCCAUCACCCAGAUGUAGCAGCAGAGAAGCUGUUGAAGAACUGGCCCAAGAUUUCCAGGUUUCAGGCUGGGAUCAGUGGAAGGCUGGUGGUCAAAGCAGAAGUGUGGCAAGCGGAGUUCAGAAGGGUUCAGAUUUUCCACAUGGGGUCUUGGCUAGGGAGGGAGAAAUGCCAGAAAAGGCUGGCUGACAGGCUGGAGACCUGUAAUGUACCCUACAUACGGAUGUUUGGGAAGCAAUUCGGGGUAUGAAGAGCUGCAGUGCUUGGCUGUGGGGAAGGGUGGAAGAGAUAUGGAGAAGUCCUGAGACCCAGAGGCAGUGUUCAGUUGUGGGUUUUUUGAGGGAAAAUAGCGUCCUCUGGGGGAAGGCAGGAACUGCAGUAGAGAGGAUGGCUGAGCUGGUGCUAGACUAGUGUUCCUGACUGGGGAAUGCAGCGAGGGGGAGGGAGGUGCAGGACCAGGGCACGGAGAGUCCCUUGGAAGGAAAGUUCAGGGAGAAGGCCCUGGGUUCAGUGGGAGGCUGUGGAGAGGGCACGUAGGAUGCUUGGUGUCAGGACCUUCUGGGGAGUUCUGGGCAGCCAGACCAGCCACUGGCUCCUCCCUUUACUACUCAUUUAUGCACCUCCCCCUCAUCCCCACCCAGGGAUUGCCCCCAUACCCAGCCCCG